Molecule: ribosomal RNA, 1336 nt
Filed under: Panesthia sloanei
Lineage: Eukaryota; Metazoa; Arthropoda; Insecta; Blattodea; Blaberidae
Description: 16S ribosomal RNA
Source: RNAcentral
UUUACAUUAAGUUUACUUGUUGUGAAAGAAAAUAUAUUAAUAUAUUUAAAAAAUAUUUUUUAGUUUUUGUAUUUAUUAAUAAUAAAAUUUUUUUGGUGAUAAAAUAUUUGUACUGUGAAGGUUUAUUGAAAUAUUAUUGAAUUAUUAAUUAAGUUUAUUUUAAUUAUUGUACCUUGUGUAUCAGGGUUAAUUAACAAUUUAUUAUAUACUGUAAUAUUCUCGAUUUCAUGAGAGCUAAUUUAUUAUUUUAAUUAUUGUUUUAUAAAUAUUAAUAACAAUAAAUUAGUAGUGAGAUGUUAAUCGUUUAUGAGGAUAUCUAGUUUUUUGGGAAAUAAAUUUAAUUUACAUUUUUUCUUUAAUCUUUUUUCUUUUUAAUAUAAUUUAAGUUUAAAUGAAUAGUAAAGGGGAUAAGCUCUUUUUUAGAUUUUCUAUAAAAUAUAAUUUAUUUAAUUGAAUUAUGUGGAUUUAAUAUUGAUUAGCAUUAUAAAUAUGUUAUAAUUUUAUUUAUAAAUUAUUACUGAUUUUUAUAUUUUUAGUUUUUUACCAAAAAUUUUUAGUAAAUCUUUUUUUAAUUUUAAUUAUGAUUAAAUUAGUAUAUUAAUAUAAUUUAUUUAAUUUUUUGUUUAUGAGUAAAUUUGAGGAAUUAGGCAAAAGGACUUAYUCGCCUGUUUAACAAAAACAUCUUUUCUUGUUUUUUAUAURAARUAUGACCUGCCCAAUGAAUAUUAAAUGGCCGCGGUAUAWUGACCGUGCAAAGGUAGCAUAAUCAUUAGUUUUUUAAUUGGARGCUGGAAUGAAUGGUUGGACGARAUAAUAACUAUCUUGAUAUUAAUAAAGUGGAAUUUAAUUUUUGGGUUAAAAAGCUYAAAUUUUUUUUUGGGACGAGAAGACCCUAUAGAGUUUUAUAAUUUAUAUAAUUAUAAAUAUUUGUUAUUUUUAUAAUUAUAUCAAAUUAUUUUGUUGGGGUGAUGUAAAGAUAUAAUAAACUCUUUUUAUUUAUUGUUUAUAAAUUAAUAUUUWUUUGAUCCWUUKUUWNUGAUUAWAAGKUUAAAUUACCUUAGGGAUAACAGCGUAAUYUUUUUUGAGAGUUCUUAUUGACAAWRRRGRUUGCGACCUCGAUGUUGGAUUARGAUAAWUYNNUWWGGUGYARAAGCUWUARAUAUNAGGUCUGUUCGACCUUUAAAWUCYUACAUGAUCUGAGUUCAAAYCGGYGURAGCCAGGUUGGUUUCUAUCUAUUAAUAGAUUUAUUAUUUUAGUACGAAAGGACCAAGUAAUAAAAAUAAUUUUUGUUUACUGAAUAAUAUUAAUAUUUGCUGUUUUGGCAGAUAAGUGCAA